UCUCCGUAGGUGAACCUGCGGAGGGAUCAUUACAGAGUUCGCGCCCUCACGGGUAGAUCUCCCACCCUGUGUUAUUAUACCUUUGUUGCUUUGGCGGGCCGCCCUCGGCUACCGGCCCCGGCUGGUACGCGCCCGCCAGAGGACCCCAAACUCUGAAUGUUAGUGUCGUCUGAGUACUAUACAAUAGUUAAAGCUUUCAACAACGGAUCUCUUGGUUCUGGCAUCGAUGAAGAACAGC
Molecule: unclassified non-coding RNA, 238 nt
Filed under: plant metagenome
Description: partial contains small subunit ribosomal RNA, internal transcribed spacer 1, and 5.8S ribosomal RNA
Source: RNAcentral